This 1369-nucleotide ribosomal RNA is filed under the name uncultured bacterium. Its description in RNAcentral is "16S ribosomal RNA". It matches the Rfam family "Bacterial small subunit ribosomal RNA", at positions 28 to 1378 of the family's 1533-position model. The record is from RNAcentral.
GAUGAACGCUGGCGGCGUGCCUAAUACAUGCAAGUCGAGCGAACGGACGAGAAGCUUGCUUCUCUGAUGUUAGCGGCGGACGGGUGAGUAACACGUGGAUAACCUACCUAUAAGACUGGGAUAACUUCGGGAAACCGGAGCUAAUACCGGAUAAUAUUUCGAACCGCAUGGUUCAAAAGUGAAAGACGGUCUUGCUGUCACUUAUAGAUGGAUCCGCGCUGCAUUAGCUAGUUGGUAAGGUAACGGCUUACCAAGGCAACGAUGCAUAGCCGACCUGAGAGGGUGAUCGGCCACACUGGAACUGAGACACGGUCCAGACUCCUACGGGAGGCAGCAGUAGGGAAUCUUCCGCAAUGGGCGAAAGCCUGACGGAGCAACGCCGCGUGAGUGAUGAAGGUCUUCGGAUCGUAAAACUCUGUUAUUAGGGAAGAACAUAUGUGUAAGUAACUGUGCACAUCUUGACGGUACCUAAUCAGAAAGCCACGGCUAACUACGUGCCAGCAGCCGCGGUAAUACGUAGGUGGCAAGCGUUAUCCGGAAUUAUUGGGCGUAAAGCGCGCGUAGGCGGUUUUUUAAGUCUGAUGUGAAAGCCCACGGCUCAACCGUGGAGGGUCAUUGGAAACUGGAAAACUUGAGUGCAGAAGAGGAAAGUGGAAUUCCAUGUGUAGCGGUGAAAUGCGCAGAGAUAUGGAGGAACACCGGUGGCGAAGGCGACUUUCUGGUCUGUAACUGACGCUGAUGUGCGAAAGCGUGGGGAUCAAACAGGAUUAGAUACCCUGGUAGUCCACGCCGUAAACGAUGAGUGCUAAGUGUUAGGGGGUUUCCGCCCCUUAGUGCUGCAGCUAACGCAUUAAGCACUCCGCCUGGGGAGUACGACCGCAAGGUUGAAACUCAAAGGAAUUGACGGGGACCCGCGCAAGCGGUGGAGCAUGUGGUUUAAUUCGAAGCAACGCGAAGAACCUUACCAAAUCUUGACAUCCUUUGACAACUCUAGAGAUAGAGCCUUCCCCUUCGGGGGACAAGGUGACAGGUGGUGCAUGGUUGUCGUCAGCUCGUGUCGUGAGAUGUUGGGUUAAGUCCCGCAACGAGCGCAACCCUUAAGCUUAGUUGCCAUCAUUAAGUUGGGCACUCUAAGUUGACUGCCGGUGACAAACCGGGGGAAGGUGGGGAUGACGUCAAAUCAUCAUGCCCCUUAUGAUUUGGGCUACACACGUGCUACAAUGGACAAUACAAAGGGCAGCGAAACCGCGAGGUCAAGCAAAUCCCAUAAAGUUGUUCUCAGUUCGGAUUGUAGUCUGCAACUCGACUACAUGAAGCUGGAAUCGCUAGUAAUCGUAGAUCAGCAUGCUACGGUGAAUACGUUCCCGGG